Molecule: long non-coding RNA, 650 nt
Organism: Sphaeramia orbicularis (orbiculate cardinalfish)
Lineage: Eukaryota; Metazoa; Chordata; Actinopteri; Kurtiformes; Apogonidae
Exons: 4
Source: RefSeq, a predicted model, not a curated record
UUCAUUCAGAAUGGAAGUCGCCAAAGUGAAGAGGAAGGAACCACGGCGCAUUUGUAAACACUGUGAUCUAGAACUUAGUAGUAGUUGUUUCUACGAGCAUAAAAAACGCUACUUUUUCAAAGGAGUUUGGUACAGAAACAUCGAACAGCUACAUAAUGCACAGGAAAUCCAGCUGUUGGUCAGGCAGAAAUAUUACAGCGGUAAUGAUGCACCAGAAACACUAAAUAAAACUACUGAGACCCCGGGUGGAGGUACUGAAGAAACUGAAGGAAUAAACCCACUGACCGAUAAUUCAACCAACCACCAGGAUAAUCAAAUUGUUCAUUGUUUUGGAGAGAUUGGCACAACUGAGGAUCCACAUCCACCAACUGAUGAUUCAGAUGAUGAUGGAAGCAUAGGUGACCAAAGCAUUCAUCUUUUCCUUGACUCCAGCGGUUCUGAUUCAAUGGAAGAUGAAUGAAGAAGCAGUGUUUUGCGGAUGGUUAUGUUGCUGAGGAGGAUAAAGAGGGAGAGGACUUGCAGAAGACUCCAUACUGGGCCACACUCAGAAAGGCUGUCAACGCAUUAUGACCCUGACGCAAUAAAGAGGCAGCUUUUGAGGCCUUAGGCGUUUUUUUUUUUUUUUUUGAGAGUAUGCAUUUUCUGCAUCU